This 508-nucleotide ribosomal RNA is filed under the name uncultured bacterium. RNAcentral's name for it is "partial 16S ribosomal RNA". It matches the Rfam family "Bacterial small subunit ribosomal RNA", at positions 30 to 523 of the family's 1533-position model. The record is from RNAcentral.
AUUGAACGCUGGCGGCAGGCCUAACACAUGCAAGUCGAGCGGCAGCGGGAAAGUAGCUUGCUACUUUUGCCGGCGAGCGGCGGACGGGUGAGUAAUGCCUGGGAAAUUGCCCAGUCGAGGGGGAUAACAGUUGGAAACGACUGCUAAUACCGCAUACGCCCUACGGGGGAAAGCGGGGGACCUUAGGGCCUUGCGCGAUUGGAUAUGCACAGGUGGGAUUAGCUAGUUGGUGAGGUAAUGGCUCAUCAAGGCGACGAUCCCUAGCUGGUCUGAGAGGAUGAUCAGCCACACUGGAACUGAGACACGGUCCAGACUCCUACGGGAGGCAGCAGUGGGGAAUAUUGCACAAUGGGGGAAACCCUGAUGCAGCCAUGCCGCGUGUGUGAAGAAGGCCUUCGGGUUGUAAAGCACUUUCAGCGAGGAGGAAAGGUUGAUGCCUAAUACGUAUCAACUGUGACGUUACUCGCAGAAGAAGCACCGGCUAACUCCGUGCCAGCCGCCGCCGUAA